This 460-nucleotide ribosomal RNA is filed under the name uncultured bacterium. RNAcentral's name for it is "partial 16S ribosomal RNA". It matches the Rfam family "Bacterial small subunit ribosomal RNA", at positions 338 to 795 of the family's 1533-position model. The record is from RNAcentral.
CCUACGGGGGGCUGCAGUGAGGAAUAUUGGUCAAUGGACGAGAGUCUGAACCAGCCAAGUAGCGUGAAGGAUGACUGCCCUAUGGGUUGUAAACUUCUUUUAUAAAGGAAUAAAACGAGGCACGUGUGCCUUUUUGCAUGUACUUUAUGAAUAAGGAUCGGCUAACUCCGUGCCAGCAGCCGCGGUAAUACGGAGGAUCCGAGCGUUAUCCGGAUUUAUUGGGUUUAAAGGGAGCGUAGAUGGGUUGUUAAGUCAGUUGUGAAAGUUUGCGGCUCAACCGUAAAAGUGCAAUUGAUACUGGUAGUCUUGAGUACAGUUGAGGUAGGCGGAAUUCGUGGUGUAGCGGUGAAAUGCUUAGAUAUCACGAAGAACCCCGAUUGCGAAGGCAGCUUACUAAACUGUGACUGACAUUGAUGCUCGAAAGUGUGGGUAUCAAACAGGAUUAGAUACCCGGGUAGUC